CAACAUUGCAAACUGAUUGAUAAUGUCCAUUUUACAUGUAGUUUGGCAACAUUCCCAUUGUCUACUACAACAAACCCUCUUUUCUGUUUCUCAGUUUUUGUGAAUGUUCCUCCAGUUCAUUAACUCAUGCCUGUUUUCAUCCUGAGGGUCCAGUUCUAAAAUGACCUAGGAACCCACGGUGCUUUAUGCCAGUGCCUUAGAUCCUUAGAUCCUGUACUGUCAAAACAGUGUUAAUUUAUCUUUUCCUGGGAUGCGCUGUUUGUUCUUCUAGAAAAAAGAACUCGUAGAGGCUGAGCAGAAUGGAGAUGCACACACAGCAGAGCUGGAAGAAGACGAUCCAGGCAAGAAGGCAGAGACAGAUGCUCAAGAAGAGAACGCCGAAGAGGAGGAACCGGCAGAAGAAGACGAAGAGAGUAGAGAGGUAGCUGAGGAGGAAGAGCAGGAGGAAGGAGAAGAGGACAGGGUUGAGGACAACCAUCUGGUCUCAGAGGUGAUUCUUAUUCUAGAAUGAACAGAUCUGGAGUGUGUUUAACUCUACUAUUCUCUCCCAUCCAUUCCUUCUCAUCUUCCUGACAACAUUUCCAUUAUUAUUAUUAUUAUUUAUUUUUGC
Long non-coding RNA from Sinocyclocheilus rhinocerous, 610 nucleotides. RefSeq lists it as uncharacterized. The record is from RefSeq and is a predicted model, not a curated record. The transcript has 4 exons. Lineage: Eukaryota; Metazoa; Chordata; Actinopteri; Cypriniformes; Cyprinidae.